GAUGAACGCUGGCGGCGUGCUUAACACAUGCAAGUCGAACGAAGAUGCCGGAGUGCUUGCACUUUGGCAGACUGAGUGGCGGACGGGUGAGUAACGCGUGGGUAACCUGCCUUAUACAGGGGGAUAACAGUUGGAAACGACUGCUAAUACCGCAUAAGCGCACGGUAUCGCAUGAUACAGUGUGAAAAACUCCGGUGGUAUAAGAUGGACCCGCGUCUGAUUAGCUUGUUGGUGAGGUAACGGCCCACCAAGGCGACGAUCAGUAGCCGGCCUGAGAGGGUGAACGGCCACAUUGGGACUGAGACACGGCCCAAAACUCCUACGGGAGGCAGCAGUGGGGAAUAUUGCACAAUGGGGGAAACCCUGAUGCAGCGACGCCGCGUGAGUGAUGAAGUAUUUCGGUAUGUAAAACUCUAUCAGCAGGGAAGAUAAAUGACGGUACCUGACUAAGAAGCACCGGCUUAAANACGUG
This 472-nucleotide ribosomal RNA is filed under the name uncultured bacterium. RNAcentral describes it as "bacterial SSU rRNA". It matches the Rfam family "Bacterial small subunit ribosomal RNA", at positions 28 to 507 of the family's 1533-position model. The record is from RNAcentral.